This is a long non-coding RNA of Anguilla rostrata (American eel), 5406 nucleotides long. RefSeq lists it as uncharacterized. The record is from RefSeq and is a predicted model, not a curated record. The transcript is spliced from 4 exons. Lineage: Eukaryota; Metazoa; Chordata; Actinopteri; Anguilliformes; Anguillidae.
GACCUCCCGCCCUCCCACAAGCCCGCCCCUCCCCCUCCCAAAAAGAAGACCAGCGACCUGAAGAGUCACCUGACCUCUGAGGACAUCCAGGUCGUUCACCUGGACAAGGACGAAGAAAUCCAGAAGCUUCCUCUUCAGCCACCGUACUACGACAUGGCCCCCUCCGACUCCACCCCCUACUCAGACAAGCUGGGCUCCGGUGACGUCCAGUACGCGGAGUUGGACACCGCGGCGCUGGCCUCCUCCCCGAGCUCCCGGACCUCCAUUCCCACCGGCGGGGACCUUGUUGAGUAUGCAACCAUCCAGUCUAGCUCACACUAGCGCAUGCCACUGUAGGCCUUUCCCCUGAGACAAGAACUCUGGGAAGCGUCGCGAAGAGCUCUCAAGCGCCGCCGGCCGUGUGAACCACCGCCCCGCCCCGCCCCGCCCCGCCCCGCCCGCGGCGAGGGCCGCUUUCUGGAGCCGCCACCCCCCCUCUGGCCCCCCCGCCACGCCACUCCAAUAUUUACCCCGGCACGCCCUACACGGAGCACCCCUGCGACGGCUACCGCCCUCUCCCUGCCCCCAGUACACGUUCCCUAAAAAAACAGUGCGUCUCAUACCCUCAAACACGCUCCCUUCAUGGAGGUGUACAGUUAGAUGAAAUGAGAUUUAUGGAGAUCCCUCUAGCCCUCCUCCCUCUCUCUCUCUCUUUCUCUCUCUCUGUCACUCUCGCUCUCUAUCUCUCUCUCUCUCUCGCUCCCCCUCCUUCUCUCUCUUUCUCUCUCUCUCCCCCCUCCUUCUCUCUCUCUCUUUCUCUUUCUCUCUACCUCUCCCCCUCCCUCUCUCUCCCUCUCCCUCCCCCUCCCUCUCUCUCUAUUUCUCUCUCUCUCUCCACUCUUUACCCCCCCCACCCCUGCCCUUCACCGUGUCGUGUUGAUGGUGGACCUUGGUUGGUGGAAGUGUCAGUAGUUCUGUACUGUCUGUGGGCCCUCUGUGGAUAAUAACGCACUGCACGUGUUUGUGAUUAUUAGCGCCCCCUAGAGGCACAGAUUCCCCCCCGGCACCGUCGUCCCAACCUCCACUUACCGUACUUGAUCCAACUUCACCUUCACCUGUAACAACUGAACGUUUGCCUUGUCUUUGUAUUUUUUUUCUCUUCUUCUUUUUCUGCUUUAUUUUGUAUUCUCACGAUUGUUGUAUUUUUUAUUUUUUUUUGCCAAGUGUUUUGUACGACCACACCCUGAGUGUUCACAACGUAGCUCCAAAACCUUCCGCAGUGCUUGUGUUCUCUUUUUUACCACCGAUUUGUGUUUUGUAUGUUUGUUUGUUUGUUCUUCUUGUCUUUUCUGUUGUUAUACCUGUAGAGUAUUUUUUUUCUCCACUUGCUCAUUCGCUCGUGAGCAUAUGCGUGAUUGAAAGUGUGCUUGUGUAAUUACGUGUGACAUCCUUUUUUAUUUAUUCAUUUUUGUUGUUGUUGUAGAUGUUGUUGGUAGUUUGAUUGAAAAAAAAAGGAGCAGUUCCUACGACAGUAUCUCCAGUCUUAAAUCAAAAGGGCCGUUGUGGGCACAGGCUUUAGUUACAGUCCAGCGCUAAGUGGCCAGCUUGAGCUAAUCACUUACACAUGGUCUUCAGUCAACUUGACGAGUACAAUCAGGUCAUCAGAAGCACCAGCACUUCUGGGAUAAGACCGGGGAGCCCCUGCCGUGCGAUACUGACUCCAUGCCAGAACUGGGAGCGCUUGGCAGAGUCCCCAUCUCCACCGGCUUCUCUGAAUCAAAACAUUAAACCUGUAAUACAGUAAGAACAUUCUCAAUCAUUGCAAGAAAAUGCUGUUUUCUGAAUAGCUGUUAAAUUAAAAAAAAAAAAAACAUGAAACAAAAUCAUAAAACGAACACCAAAAGGGCUCCAGUUCCAACAGGUACAUUAGUUUUCCAGUACUUGAUAUCAUGCUUGGAUAUUUGUGUAGUUAAAAAAAAAACAAUUUAUUGUUGGAUGGAAUCUGUGAUUCUUGUUGGAUUGGUAAAGUGAUAUGACAGCUGGCACAGUUCUUUCUUGGCUCCAGGUCAUUGGCUGGGCUUCCUGGAGUCUCCUCCAAUCAGAAACUGCUUUAGUUUCCUAUUAAUUUCCCUGAUAAAAGGCAAAUUCGCCUUAGGUUAGUCUCUCUGAGCCUGACAUGGUAGAUGUAUUUUGUAUUUUCUCUAGUGGUGGAGUAUUCUAUGUUUUUGCAAGCACCCGUGUCACAUAUUAAAGCGUAGGUGUCUUUGAAUGCAGUGUCCAGUUUCAGGGUUUCCAAAGUGGUAUCACUCCACUCAGUGACCAGCACAAUCAUAUCCAUGCUAAAUUUAUGCCCAUCACCACCAUCAGUGUUCAGGAAGCUCAUUAGUCAGGAAAGUUCAGUUCUGUUUUCUUUUAACUGCCAGGCUGGUGUGGAAAAAAAAACAUUUCAUUUCAUUCAUAAUUUCAGCUGAGCAUAUUUUUUUAGGGACAUUCAGUAGAGGUCUUGAGUUCAACUUGAACGGAGAACCAGUUGAUGGGGUCACUGCCAAUUAUGAAACAAGUAAAAAUAAAAAAAGAAAUUUGCAAAUUAUGCGUCAAAAGGAAGAUUAACAUUGUUGUUGCCAUGUGGCGAUGAAUAUGUACAGGUAUGUACUGAAAAUGGAAGUAUUUGUGUUUGUGAUUAAUGUGAAAGACUCAUUGUUUGAAAUAUGAUGAACUAUGAUGAAGGUUGAAAAUUUAAGUCUUACAAAUUUGAACCUAGAAUAGGAAAAUAAUUGUGAGGAAUUAUUAUUAUUUUUAUUUUAUUGUGCUCACGUUGUUGUCUUGCACUGGUUUGUGUGUUCUAGCAUUUCAGUAGGUGUGCCCGGUUGUUUCUGGUUCACAAUCCUGAAGAAAAGAAAGUAUAUUCUGUCUAUUACAGUACCUGCUUGAAUAAAUCACCCGGACACAACUGUGUCACUCGUUUACAAUUCAUCUUUAUUUUAAAAUUAUUAUUAUUAUUAUUAUUAUUAUUAUUAUUACUACUACUAUUUUUAUGCUGUAAAACUACUUUGCUUCCCACUGCGAUAAGAUAUUCAGUGUUAUGUUUAGUUUCCAAACAUGACAGUAUUUUUAAAAAUCAAUUCCAUUAUUCUGAAUGUUGUUUUUACUUGUGAUUUCCCAUUUUCUGCCAUGUGUGUAUACUUGCCAUUUUACACUUUUUAUUUGAUAUGUGUGUGACCAUAGCAUUUGUCAUAUGUGUGCUUUCAAACACAUACAGUGUAUACAUAGUGUAUGUAUCUGUGAUUUUAAGGGGUCAUUUGCAGAGGGGAAUAUCCUUUACUCGUUGUGGAAAUGCAAAGUUCUGAGUAUGCCCAUUUGUUGGUCACUUACGUUUCUGCAGAUGAAAGGAUUAAGAACACCGUCUUUCGUACGUGAGUUAGUGUGAGCCACACAUGUACACAUCCAUGCUAGUGCACACUGUCUAGUUUAGUAGUACAGGUUGCUGUACCUUUCUUGUAGCUUUCACAAUAACAAACUAUGAAACACGAAACUGUGAAACAAGAAACAAAACUGUGUUCCAUUACGUCCGGUAAAAUGACCAUGUAACACAAUCAAGAUAUUAUAUUUAUGAAUAAACAUCUACCUCUUAAAGGAUUUUUUUAUUUUUUAUUCACUGUCUUCAAGAUUUAUAGUCCCUCCUUUGCUCUUUUAUGGCAGAUAAGGUACAUUUCCGUUCUUUUUUGGGAAAAGGAAUUUUUUUAAUUUCUUUUUUAAAGAAAAAAAGAAACCAGAUCUCCCAGUAGCGUGGGUGUACUGUACCACGGAAACAAGACAAUCAGGCAAGUUUUGCUCCUCUGCGUCAAAUCUGCAAAACUCUGCCAAACCACAACAUAUAAAUCAUGCCAGUUGUGAAGUCUGAUAAAGGGAGAAAGUGAUUUGUACAAUGUAAAAAAAAAAAAGUAGAUAUUUAUGUAUUGUUUCCCUUUCACAGCACACCUGCUUCCUUCUCACCUGUACCCCAACCCCCCACCCCACCCCACCCCAACCCUCCCAUUUGUCUUGAUCAAGUUUAAACGUAUCCAUCACUGUACAUCCCCUGGGCCCAUGCUCUGAAUUUAUAAGACAGCCCAAUCAGUGACCCCCCCCCCCCAGUGACACUGUAAAUAAUGUGGAUGUAAUGAAGACUCAUUAAAAUGUUCUCAAUAAGGCUACGCUGCUGAGACACCAAGGUCUCUGCGCAAUAUGACUGCAAUGCCCUGCCUAGACAAUGAGCUGAAUUUCUGUAUGCCGCAGUUACCAUUUUACAACAUAUGUAAGUAUGUGUCUAACACACACAUGCACACACACGCACACACACACACACACAAUUGAUUAGGUUAGCACAGGGGUAGGCAACCCUGCUCCUGGGGGGCCAGAGAGGUUCCUGGUUUUUCCUCUAUCCAAACCCAUAGCCUCAUAAUUGUAUUGAUUAUCAGGUAUAAUUAAUACAGGGGACCAUGUGCUGGAGGUUCUCAGCAUGUCCCCACUCGCAUGGUGAAUAUUCAGACUCUGACUCUUAAUAAUCCAUCAAGCUCAUGAGGUCAAGCUCAGAUGAAAAAAAGAUAAAUAAACGUCACUGGCACUCCAGGACCAGCGUUUUAACUGCGGCCAGAAAAGCAUUUUUGCUGUGUGAGAGCAGGAGUCAUACACCUUAUGCUAGUGUCUAUCUUCGCACAGGCAAGAUCUCCCUGUAAACCAUCGGCACAAAAUAUUAAAAAUAGCAUGAUAACAUUUUAAAUGGAAAUGUACUUUUCGAUUAAAUGCAAUGUGAACAAGUGGUUCCUAUGCAGCACUUCCUUAUUUAUUGUACAAAACGUUCCCUUAAAUUCAGUGAUUAACAAACUCAUUGACUGUGCAUGAAAAAAAUAAAUUGGAUCAUCAUCAGAAUUCUUAUGACCUGGAACCUGUUAUUGUUUUGCUUCAUUGUGGUUUUUCUGUUGUUUUUUUUUUCUUUUUUCCUAUUUGUGAAAAUAAUUGCAUUAUUGUUGCAACACAAUCUGAGCAUGAUUCAGCUAAUCUCAAAAUGAACCCAACUAAUUCCUCUAUAAAGCCAUUGCGUUGACCAGGAAGCAUAGCUGCUUCAUUGUGACACAACUGGAUUAUGGCAAAUUAGAGUUUGUGUGUCUGUGCGCAAGUGCGUGCGUGUGUGUGCAUGCAUAUUUGUGCGAGUGUGUGUGUGUGCUUACAUGCACUUGUUUGUAUGUGCACGUGCACUGUAUAUGUAUGUAUGUGUGUGCAUGUUUGAUUUACUUAUUUACACACUGUUUUUAGUCUUGGAAAUUCACUUCUGUUAUGUACUCUAGUGGUUUUGAUUUACACUUGAUCAUUACUGAGCCAUCCAGAGAGCAGAAUAACUGUGGAAGAAAAUGUCUGUAUCCCUGAUGUUAUUAAAUAAUCCAACUUCCA